UGGCUCUCGCAUCGAUGAAGAACGCAGCGAAAUGCGAUAAGUAAUGUGAAUUGCAGAAUUCAGUGAAUCAUCGAAUCUUUGAACGCACCUUGCGCUCCUUGGUAUUCCUCGGAGCAUGCCUGUUUGAGUAUCAUGAAAUUAUCAAAAUAAGUCUUUCGUUAACUCGAUUGAUUUUAUUUUGGACUUGGAGGUCUGCAGAUUCACGUCUGCUCCUCUUAAAUUCAUUAGCUGGAUCUCCGUGAACUCGGUUCCACUCGGCGUGAUAAGUAUCACUCGCUGAGGACACUGUAAAAAGUGGCCGGGGUCGUGGAAGAACUGCUUCUAAUAGUCCAUUGACUUGGACAAUAAAUUCAUUUAUGAUCUGAUCUCAAAUCAGGUAGGACUACCCGCUGA
This 393-nucleotide unclassified non-coding RNA is filed under the name uncultured fungus. RNAcentral's name for it is "partial contains 5.8S ribosomal RNA and internal transcribed spacer 2". The stretch from base 1 to 133 matches the Rfam family "5.8S ribosomal RNA", at positions 22 to 154 of the family's 154-position model. Lineage: Eukaryota; Fungi. The record is from RNAcentral.